CCUACGGGAGGCUGCAGUGGGGAAUAUUGGGCAAUGGGCGCAAGCCUGACCCAGCAACGCCGCGUGAAGGAAGAAGGCUUUCGGGUUGUAAACUUCUUUUCUCAGGGACGAGUAGAGUGACGGUACCUGAGGAAUAAGCCACGGCGAACUACGUGCCAGCAGCCGCGGUAAUACGUAGGUGGCAAGCGUUAUCCGGAUUUACUGGGUGUAAGGGGCGUGUAGGCGGGACUGCAAGUCAGAUGUGAAAACCACGGGCUCAACCUGUGGCCUGCAUUUGAAACUGUAGUUCUUGAGUACUGGAGAGGCAGACGGAAUUCCUAGUGUAGCGGUGAAAUGCGUAGAUAUUAGGAGGAACACCAGUGGCGAAGGCGGUCUGCUGGACAGCAACUGACGCUGAGGCGCGAAAGCGUGGGGAGCAAACAGGAUUAGAUACCCGAGUAGUC
RNAcentral lists this ribosomal RNA (443 nucleotides) under uncultured bacterium. Its description in RNAcentral is "partial 16S ribosomal RNA". It matches the Rfam family "Bacterial small subunit ribosomal RNA", at positions 338 to 795 of the family's 1533-position model. The record is from RNAcentral.